AUUGAACGCUGGCGGCAGGCCUAACACAUGCAAGUCGAACGAGUGGCGGACGGGUGUGUAGUGUCUGGGAAACUGCGCGAUGGAGGGGGAUAACCACUGGAAACUGUAGCUUAUACCGCAUACUAUCGGAUGCGCCCAUAUGGGAUUAGCUAGGAGGUGGGGUAACGGCUCACCUAGGCGACGCUCCCUAGCUGGUCUGAGAGGAUGACCAGCCACACUGGAACUGAGACACGGUCCAGACUCCUACGGGAGGCAGCAGUGGGGAAUAUUGCACAAUGGGCGCAAGCCUGAUGCAGCCAUGCCGCGUGUAUGAAGAAGGCCUUCGGGUUGUAAAGUACGUUCAGCGAGGAGGCGUUACUCGCAGAAGAAGCACCGGCUAACUCCGUGCCAGCAGCCGCGGUAAUUC
RNAcentral lists this ribosomal RNA (406 nucleotides) under uncultured bacterium. RNAcentral's name for it is "partial 16S ribosomal RNA". It matches the Rfam family "Bacterial small subunit ribosomal RNA", at positions 30 to 526 of the family's 1533-position model. The record is from RNAcentral.